RNAcentral lists this ribosomal RNA (298 nucleotides) under uncultured eukaryote. RNAcentral's name for it is "partial 18S ribosomal RNA". It matches the Rfam family "Eukaryotic small subunit ribosomal RNA", at positions 1470 to 1796 of the family's 1831-position model. The record is from RNAcentral.
CCCUUUGAUACUCUGGGCGGCACGCGCGCUACAAUGGAUAACUUAACGUGUUACAUGUCCGAAAGGAUGUAUGCAAAUCACAAAUGUUAUGUCUCGAGUGGGAUAGUUUACUGCAAUUAUAGACUUGAACUAAGAAUCCCUUGUAGGUACACUGAAGCAUAGUGUACCGAAUACGUCCCUGCCGUUUGUACACACCGCCCGUCGUUUCUUCCGACUGAUACUCAUUGUGAAUUGCGGGGAUAACGUUGUUGAAAACCGUUGUAAAUGCUGGGUAUUGGAGGAAGAAAAAGUCGUAACA